AUAGCGUAUAUUAAAGUUGUUGCAGUUAAAAAGCUCGUAGUUGAACUUCAGACCUGGCUGGGCGGUCAGCUUAUCGGCUAGUACUGUCCGGCUGGGCCUUACUUCUUGGUGAGCCGGUGUGCCCUUUAUUGGGUGCGUCGGUGAACCAGGACCUUUACCUUGAGAAAAUUAGAGUGUUCAAAGCAGGCCUAUGCCCGAAUACAUUAGCAUGGAAUAAUAAAAUAGGACGUGUGGUUCUAUUUUGUUGGUUUCUAGAGUCGCCGUAAUGAUUAAUAGGGAUAGUUGGGGGCAUUGGUAUUCAGUCGCUAGAGGUGAAAUUCUUGGAUUGACUGAAGACCGACUAUUG
Molecule: ribosomal RNA, 346 nt
Filed under: uncultured eukaryote
Lineage: Eukaryota
Description: SSU rRNA
Rfam family: Eukaryotic small subunit ribosomal RNA
Source: RNAcentral